CACUCGUUCUUUCACUCGCCACCUCUCGCUCGUAUUCGCCCCCUCUCGCGCGCAUUCACUCCCUCUCGCGCGCGUUGUCUCCCUCUCUUUGCAUUCGCUUUACUUUUGUCAAUUUACGUGCCUCAUAUGAAACGGCGCCCAGAGACGGAUGGUGUAGCAAUAUUGUUGUCCGGGUGGAAAUAGGGAGAAAUUCGGGAGAAAGGUCGGCCCGGGAGAUUUUCGGGAGGGGCUUUGAAAUUCGGGAGUCUCCCGGAAAAAUCGGGAGGGUUGGCAUGUAUGACAUAGGUUUAGAUUCGGAAAUUAUAGCAUAGCGUCCGUUGAGGCAUAACUGAAGUCAAGAGGUCAGGACGCAUCUCUCUUUGUGUGCUCUACAGCUGCAGCGUGCGAGGCUGCGUCGACAGAGAGAAGCGGUUCUGAUUGGCUGUGUCUUGUGAUUGAUUGACGCGUCCCGCCCCCUUUCCUUUCGGUAUGGACAGACAUUUUGCUUAUCGCAGGAAUCUCAUCGCGUCGCGUUUGGUUAGUAUGAGGUCUCACCUUCAUUCAUAAAGUUAUGAUCUGUUGUGCAGUUGUUGUAUUUCUGAUGAUUGUAACGACACUUCUGAUCUUCUUCAUCAUCAGGAAACACAGAAAAACAAAUAAAGAUUAUCAGACCGGUGAAGAGGAGAUCACUUAUGCACAACCAACCUUCCGUGAAAGACCAACACAUAAACCGAGAUGUGCGGUGGAGGAUGAUGUGGUGUAUGCAGGAGUCAUGAGAAGAUGAAUAUGGAGCAGAGGAUCACUGAUAUAAGAAUUGUAAAACUCAAUAUUUAUGAAAAACUGCUAAUAAAAUAAGAAACAAGUCAUAA
Molecule: long non-coding RNA, 848 nt
Organism: Triplophysa dalaica
Lineage: Eukaryota; Metazoa; Chordata; Actinopteri; Cypriniformes; Nemacheilidae
Exons: 4
Source: RefSeq, a predicted model, not a curated record